GACGAACGCUGGCGGCGUGCUUAACACAUGCAAGUCGAACGGAAAGGCCCUGCUUUUGUGGGGUGCUCGAGUGGCGAACGGGUGAGUAACACGUGAGUAACCUGCCCUUGACUUUGGGAUAACUUCAGGAAACUGGGGCUAAUACCGGAUAGGAGCUCCUGCUGCAUGGUGGGGGUUGGAAAGUUUCGGCGGUUGGGGAUGGACUCGCGGCUUAUCAGCUUGUUGGUGGGGUAGUGGCUUACCAAGGCUUUGACGGGUAGCCGGCCUGAGAGGGUGACCGGCCACAUUGGGACUGAGAUACGGCCCAGACUCCUACGGGAGGCAGCAGUGGGGAAUAUUGCACAAUGGGCGGAAGCCUGAUGCAGCAACGCCGCGUGCGGGAUGACGGCCUUCGGGUUGUAAACCGCUUUCGCCUGUGACGAAGCGUGAGUGACGGUAAUGGGUAAAGAAGCACCGGCUAACUACGUGCCAGCAGCCGCGGUGAUACGUAGGGUGCGAGCGUUGUCCGGAUUUAUUGGGCGUAAAGGGCUCGUAGGUGGUUGAUCGCGUCGGAAGUGUAAUCUUGGGGCUUAACCCUGAGCGUGCUUUCGAUACGGGUUGACUUGAGGAAGGUAGGGGAGAAUGGAAUUCCUGGUGGAGCGGUGGAAUGCGCAGAUAUCAGGAGGAACACCAGUGGCGAAGGCGGUUCUCUGGGCCUUUCCUGACGCUGAGGAGCGAAAGCGUGGGGAGCGAACAGGCUUAGAUACCCUGGUAGUCCACGCUGUAAACGGUGGGUACUAGGUGUGGGGUCCAUUCCACGGGUUCCGUGCCGUAGCUAACGCUUUAAGUACCCCGCCUGGGGAGUACGGCCGCAAGGCUAAAACUCAAAGGAAUUGACGGGGCCCCGCACAAGCGGCGGAGCAUGCGGAUUAAUUCGAUGCAACGCGUAGAACCUUACCUGGGUUUGACAUGGAUCGGGAGUGCUCAGAGAUGGGUGUGCCUCUUUUGGGGUCGGUUCACAGGUGGUGCAUGGCUGUCGUCAGCUCGUGUCGUGAGAUGUUGGGUUAAGUCCCGCAACGAGCGCAACCCUUGUUCACUGUUGCCAGCACGUUAUGGUGGGGACUCAGUGGAGACCGCCGGGGUCAACUCGGAGGAAGGUGGGGAUGACGUCAAGUCAUCAUGCCCCUUAUGUCCAGGGCUUCACGCAUGCUACAAUGGCUGGUACAGAGAGUGGCGAGCCUGUGAGGGUGAGCGAAUCUCGGAAAGCCGGUCUCAGUCCGGAUUGGGGUCUGCAACUCGACCUCAUGAAGUCGGAGUCGCUAGUAAUCGCAGAUCAGCAACGCUGCGGUGAAUACGUUCCCGGG
RNAcentral lists this ribosomal RNA (1343 nucleotides) under uncultured bacterium. Its description in RNAcentral is "16S ribosomal RNA". It matches the Rfam family "Bacterial small subunit ribosomal RNA", at positions 28 to 1378 of the family's 1533-position model. The record is from RNAcentral.